Molecule: ribosomal RNA, 350 nt
Filed under: uncultured Acinetobacter sp.
Lineage: Bacteria; Pseudomonadati; Pseudomonadota; Gammaproteobacteria; Moraxellales; Moraxellaceae
Description: bacterial SSU rRNA
Rfam family: Bacterial small subunit ribosomal RNA
Source: RNAcentral
GUAGUCCAUGCCGUAAACGAUGUCUACUAGCCGUUGGGGCCUUUGAGGCUUUAGUGGCGCAGCUAACGCGAUAAGUAGACCGCCUGGGGAGUACGGUCGCAAGACUAAAACUCAAAUGAAUUGACGGGGGCCCGCACAAGCGGUGGAGCAUGUGGUUUAAUUCGAUGCAACGCGAAGAACCUUACCUGGUCUUGACAUAGUAAGAACUUUCCAGAGAUGGAUUGGUGCCUUCGGGAACUUACAUACAGGUGCUGCAUGGCUGUCGUCAGCUCGUGUCGUGAGAUGUUGGGUUAAGUCCCGCAACGAGCGCAACCCUUUUCCUUAUUUGCCAGCGGGUUAAGCCGGGAACU